Molecule: ribosomal RNA, 492 nt
Filed under: uncultured bacterium
Lineage: Bacteria
Description: partial 16S ribosomal RNA
Rfam family: Bacterial small subunit ribosomal RNA
Source: RNAcentral
AGUGAACGCUGGCGGUAGGCCUAACACAUGCAAGUCGAACGGCAGCACAUUAAGAGCUUGCUCUUACGGGUGGCGAGUGGCGGACGGGUGAGGAAUACAUCGGAAUCUACUUUUUCGUGGGGUAUAACGUAGGGAAACUUACGCUAAUACCUCAUACGACCUACGGGUGAAAGCAGGGGAUCUUCGGACCUUGCGCGAUUGAAUGAGCCGAUGUCGUAUUAGCUAGUUGGCGGGGUAAAGGCCCACCAAGGCGACGAUCCGUAGCUGGUCUGAGAGGAUGAUGAGCCACACUGGAACUGAGACACGGUCAAGACUCAGACGGGAGGCAGCAGUGGGGAAUAUUGGAAAAUGGGAGCAAGCCUGAUCCAGCCAUACCGCGUGGGUGCAGAAGGCCUUCGGGUUGUAAAGCCCUUUUGUUGGGAAAGAAAAGCAGCAGGUUAAGACCCCGCUGUUCUGACGGUACCCAAAGAAUAAGCACCGGCUAACUUCGUG